RNAcentral lists this ribosomal RNA (253 nucleotides) under uncultured bacterium. Its description in RNAcentral is "partial 16S ribosomal RNA". It matches the Rfam family "Bacterial small subunit ribosomal RNA", at positions 524 to 776 of the family's 1533-position model. The record is from RNAcentral.
UACGAGCGGCCCAAACGUUAUUCGGAUUUACUGGGCUUAAAGAGUUCGUAGGCGGUUCGGUAAGUGAGGUGUGAAAGCCCUCGGCUCAACCGAGGAAUUGCGCUUCAAACUGCCGGGCUCGAGGGAGAUAGAGGUGAGCGGAACUGAUGGUGGAGCGGUGAAAUGCGUUGAUAUCAUCAGGAACACCAGAGGCGAAGGCGGCUCACUGGGUCUCUUCUGACGCUGAGGAACGAAAGCUAGGGGAGCAAACGGG